CCUACGGGUGGCAGCAGUGAGGAAUAUUGGUCAAUGGACGAGAGUCUGAACCAGCCAAGUAGCGUGAAGGAUGACUGCCCUAUGGGUUGUAAACUUCUUUUAUAAAGGAAUAAAACGAGGCACGUGUGCCUUUUUGCAUGUACUUUAUGAAUAAGGAUCGGCUAACUCCGUGCCAGCAGCCGCGGUAAUACGGCGGAUCCGCGCGUUAUCCGGAUUUAUUGGGGUUAAAGGGAGCGUAGAUGGGUUGUUAAGUCAGUUGUGAAAGUUUGCGGCUCAACCGUAAAAUUGCAAUUGAUACUGGCAGUCGUGAGUACAGUUGAGGUAGGCGGAAUUCGUGGUGUAGCGGUGAAAUGCUUAGAUAUCACGAAGAACCCCGAUUGCGAAGGCAGCUUACUAAACUGUGACUGACAUUGAUGCUCGAAAGUGUGGGUAUCAAACAGGAUUAGAUACCCUAGUAGUC
RNAcentral lists this ribosomal RNA (460 nucleotides) under uncultured bacterium. Its description in RNAcentral is "partial 16S ribosomal RNA". It matches the Rfam family "Bacterial small subunit ribosomal RNA", at positions 338 to 795 of the family's 1533-position model. The record is from RNAcentral.